RNAcentral lists this ribosomal RNA (325 nucleotides) under uncultured soil bacterium. RNAcentral's name for it is "bacterial SSU rRNA". It matches the Rfam family "Bacterial small subunit ribosomal RNA", at positions 26 to 342 of the family's 1533-position model. The record is from RNAcentral.
AGAGUGAACGCUGGCGGUAGGCCUAACACAUGCAAGUCGAACGGCAGCACGGUAAGAGCUUGCUCUUAUGGGUGGCGAGUGGCGGACGGGUGAGGAAUACAUCGGAAUCUACCUUUUGGUGGGGGAUAACGUAGGGAAACUUACGCUAAUACCGCAUACGCCCUUCGGGGGAAAGCCGGGGACCAGCAAUGGCCUGGUGCUGAUAGAUGAGCCGAUGUCGGAUUAGCUAGUUGGUGAGGUAAUGGCUCACCAAGGCGACGAUCCGUAGCUGGUCUGAGAGGAUGAUCAGCCACACUGGAACUGACGACACGGUACCGACUACCGU